UCAUCGACGAUCCCGACACGUGUGUGUUUACCCACAGCUACACACCGCGUCCACGUACACGGUGUAUCGAAAUUCCAUUACGUUGCUUUUUUCCGACCAGGCUGUAUGCCAUUUAAGAGCAACAGUAUUCGCGAUCGUUACCUCGACCGAUCGACUUCGCCGCGACCAUCAUUUUCACGGCUGGAAACAGCAACGAGUUACACAAUUGCGAAUACUACUUACCGGUACAGCGGUGACGGACGCAGACGAGAAUUAUCGGGAUCGAUUGUUUCGAUUUCAACGUUUCAGAAUUUGAAUCGUGCGGGAGCACAGAACCCUGAAUCGAUAGCCGCAUCGAUAGAUCAUUCGAUCGAAACUACGUCAAAGAGCAGAGAGAGAGACACGAGCAAUGAACUGAAGCAUUCAAACCAUGAUAUUCGGAAUCGAUUAACGUUAUCGGCCCGUCGAAGUGUAUACACCAUAGGCACGGGGGAACGUGCCUGGGACGAUCGAACAGGUCUCGAAGGACCGGGCAGCGCCCAAAUUUUCGGACACCCUGUACGUACAACGCAUACCGUGUGCCUGAUGCUGGCGCGCGUCCUUGGGAUCUCCACCAUGACUCGAAUCGAAAAGGAGCCGUAGGUGUACGACCCAUGUCCGUGGCUCGAUUGUGUUACCUGUUGAGCUUACCAUGCUUCAUGGAGAUAUCGCUAGUGGAAAGUUUCGUCAGACGAAAGUGGUUUAUUGCGCGCGACCAUUCACCGCGGUUAAAUCGCGCGAUCCACCGUCCAAUUGUCCGAGCAACGUGGCCGAAUAGUGGAAACAGUAUACAUGCAUACCAUACCGUGCGCGCUAUAGUGGACAGUUUUGGCGGAAAAUACAAACCGGACGGAUGGUGUCGUCUUUAACGUUUCUGUGGUGAUCUUCGAGCUUCGGCAGGCUGACCGGUCGUCG
Megalopta genalis is the source of this 933-nucleotide non-coding RNA. The record is from RefSeq and is a predicted model, not a curated record. NCBI's taxonomy places the organism in Eukaryota, Metazoa, Arthropoda, Insecta, Hymenoptera, Halictidae.